This is a long non-coding RNA of Amphimedon queenslandica, 175 nucleotides long. RefSeq lists it as uncharacterized. NCBI's taxonomy places the organism in Eukaryota, Metazoa, Porifera, Demospongiae, Haplosclerida, Niphatidae. The transcript has 2 exons. The record is from RefSeq and is a predicted model, not a curated record.
AUUCCAAUAGUUUUAAAAAGUUGGGCACAGUUUCAUGAGGGUUAAUUUAAAACUCCGCCCUUCUCUACCCAAAAGGUGUGAGUACUCUGGCCAGUUGCUUAGGACACUUUGAGAGGGUCUAUACUUUGUUGAAUUGUAAGCUCUAGUUAUGGCUGCAGCUCCUAAAAAGGCAAAA